GCCGUCGCCGCUGCGCAGGCGCGCCGAGGCGCGGUGGCUUGUGGGUAGCGGGAGCGCGAGGGGAUGCCUCGCUAGGCGUCCGGCCCCCGGGGCAUCCGCGAGCGGGCCGGCCAAUGGAUGGGGUAUCCGCGGUGGCUUUCCCGGACGCAGAUUAGGGUGGUGAAGUUCUCACGAGAUGAAUACCUUCCUUUUUUGUAUAUCCUCGUACUUAUAAAGCCAGGCGUCCUUUUUGAAUUGAAAAGACAAAAUUAACAGAAUGUAAACGAUUUUCUCAGAAGGCAGCAUCACAGCUGUGAAAGGGGAAUAUUUGUCGACAGUAUUUAAGGAAUUGUGGCAAACAGAAGAGAUCACAGAAGAGUGGAUAUAAGCAAGUGUACUACACUAAAAAAGGGGGAAAAGUGGAUCCCAUACAUCACAAACUGCCUAUAUAAUAUCCAUUCAUCCGAUGAUGAAUAUCUGGAUUGCUUCCACCUCCCAGCUAUUGUGAAUAGUGCUGCUGUGAACAUAGAGAUCACAAGUAGGCAGAGAGGCAGGCAGAGAGAGAGGAAGGGAAGCAGGCUCCCCGCGGAGCAAAGAGCCCGAUGCGGGGCUCGAUCCCAGCACCCUGGGAUCAUGACCUGAACCAAAGGCAGAGGCUUUAAUGCACUGAGCCACCCAGGCACCCCAAGGCUGUCAAUUUUUUUUUAAAGAUUUCAUUUAUUUUUAGAGAGAGAGAGCACGCACACGUGAGUGUGAGCAGGGGGAAGGGCAAGGGGAGAGGAAGAGAGAAAGAAGCAGACUCCCCACUGAGUGCAGAGCUAGAUCUGGGGCUCGAUUUCACAAUCCUGAGAUCACAACAGGAGCUGAAAUCAAGACUCUGGGCCUCUGGGGCACCUGGGUGGCUCAGUGGUUUAAGGCUCUGCCUUCAGAUCAGGUCAUGAUCUCAAGGGUUCUGGGAUCUAGCCCCGUAUCAGUCUCUCUGCUCGGCAGGGAGCCUACUUCCACCUCUCUCUCUGCCUGCUCUGCCUGCUUGUGAUUCUCUCUGUCAAAUAAAUAAAUAAAAUCUUAAAAAAAAAAAAAAGAAGAAGAAGAAGCUGGAGCUCAACAACAGCAACAAAAACAACAAAGGGAAGAAGAAAGAGGAGGAGGAGAAAAAAAGAAAAAAGCAAUUUAUACUAGACAGUGGUGUCCCCAGAGCAGCAGCUCAAACCAUCACCUUGAGAUUUCCUCCCAAGACUGACAAACAGGAACGUGUGAGAAGGAAUAACUGUUCUGCCUGCAAGGAGAGGAUAAAAUAAUAUCCAUUUGAAGACUGUUGAUAACUCUGUGUUUGAAAAUUUAAUGACUAGAGGUGAACUUACUAUGAAACUAAUGAAGUUGGGCUUACAUAUGGCCUUGCAAAAGGCCUUGGGAGGGGCCCUAGAAAUGUGUCCUCAUAGUCAUAUUUGUUUGUAAAAUUUUCAAAAGUAAUACAUUUUAACCACAGCUAACUCAAACAAUUAUUUCUUUCCACUCGCCUUUCCCUUGUGUUGGGUUAUGUUUGGGUGUAUUUACCUAGUUUGGGUUUAAUGGAAUAUAGUUAAGGGAUUCAUAGUCAGUUCUAUGCAUAGAUAAGUCACCGAGAGUCAUCCAGGUUAUAAGAAUGGCUUCUAAGAGCACUCCUACCUCCAAUGUCACCUUGCCAUGAAGCAUAACACAAACAUCUAGGACUAAAACCAAGUCUGUAGCCUAGUCUGUAGAAAAGUCUUCCAGUCAAUUCUUCCAAUUGGAUAACAUGUGAAAUUGUAAGCUGGAGUCUUUGGUUCUCAUCAACACCUAGUUAAAAUGGAAAUCCUAGCCUGUCGGGAAUAUGUUCAGUAAUGCAAUGUAUACACAUACAAAUGAACCAUUCAUUUUUUUAAAAAUAGGAAUGGCACAAAAUAGAAUUUGCCAGAAUUCCUGUGUGUGUGGAGCAAAGCCUGUAGCAGUAUUACAGCCAGCCAGUAUGUCUUUGGGAGAAGUUAAAUUUUAUACUUCUAUGAUUGGAUUGAGUUUUAACAUAUCUAACGCCUCUUGUUCUGACAAAUUCUGGUUGUUCUAGACAAGAUGGCAUGCAAAGCUGGCACUAAGGCAAUGAAAUGACCCUGAAAUCUUACCAUUCAUAUGUGAAAGAAAUUUAAUUGAGGUUUUACCAGAUUUGAAAACAAUACUAAAAACUGACAUGUCAUAACCAGUCAUGAAUUGUAAUGCAGAAAUUUUAAACUAUUAAUAACAAUAAAAAUGUUGAUUGACCAUACUUUAUGAAAGACUUAAUUAUCUUUCUAUUCUUUUUAGAAAAUGUUAUUUUCUAAAAACAAUGACAUGAGAAGAGGCAAUGAAACUUUGUGGAGCCAGAAAGGGUAGGAAAAAAGUGAUAUAAAGAUACACCAGACAGUUAAUUAUUAGUUAAUUAAUAUAUAAAUGUAGAAAUAAAAUUAUUUGUUUUAAUUUUGUUAUAUCUCUGGUAUUUGUCAACUUUUAAAAAUCUAUAACUCCCCCCCUGGAAACAAAUAAUCCAAUUGGAAAUGGGCAAAAGACAUGAACAGAUAUUUCUCCAGAAAAAAACAUACAGAUGGCCAACAGAUACAUGAAAAGAUGCUCAACAUCACUCAUCAUCAGGGAAAUGCAAAUCAAAGCCACAAUGAAUGGGGUUAUGGACAUUGGGGAGGGUAUGUGCUUUGGUAAAUGCUGUGAAGUGUGUAAACGUGGCAAUUCACAGACCUGUACCCCUGGGGAUAAAAAUAUAUGUCUAUAAAAAAUUAAAAAUUAAAAAAAAUUAAAAUUAAAAUUAAAAAAUUAAAAAAAUAAAUUUUAAGUAUUUAAAAAAAAAGCCACAUUUGUAGUACCAUGUAUGGGACUGGAAAAGAUUAUGCUGAGUGAAAUAAGUCAAGCAGAGAGAGUCAAUUAUCAUAUGGUUUCACUUAUUUGUGGAGCAUAACAAAUAGCAUGGAGGACAUGGGGAGUUGGAGAGGAGAAGGGAGUUGGGGGAAAUUGGAAGGGGAGGUGAAUCAUGAGAGACUAUGGACUCUGAAAAACAAUCCGAGGGGUUUGAAGUGGCGGGGGGGUGGGAGGUUGGGGUACCAGGUGGUGGGUAUUAUAGAGGGCACAGAUUGCAUGGAGCACUGGGUGUGGUGCAAAAAUAAUGAAUACUGUUAUGCUGAAAAUAAAUUAAUUUAAUUUAAAGAAAAAUAAUAAAAUGUUGGAACCCAAAAAAAAAAAAAAAAGCCACAAUGAAAUAUCACCUCACACCCAUCAGAAUGGCUCAAAUCAGAAAUAAAAGGAACAGCAAGUGUUGAUGAGGAUGUAGAGAAAAAGGAACCCUGUGCACUAUUGGUGGGAAUGCAAACUGGUGCACCCAUUGUGGAAAGCAGUAUGGAGGUUCCUGAAAAAAAUUAAAAAUAGAAUUACCAUGUGCCCCAUUAAUUCCAUUACUGGGUAAUUACCCAAAGAAAAUAAAAACACUAAUUUGAAAAGAUGUAUGCAUCUUAUGUUUAUUGCGGCAUUAUUUAUAAUAGCCAACAUAUGGAAGCACCUCAUGUCCAACAAUAUGUGGAUAAGGAAUAUGUGAGAGAGAUAUAUAUAUAAUGGAAUAAUACAUAGCCAUUAAAAGGAAUGAAAUCUUAUCAUUUGUGACAAUAUAGAUGGUUCUAGAUAUAGAUAUAUAGAUAUAUAUAGUUAUAUAAUGGAAUAUUUAUAUAGAUAUAUAAUGGAAUAUUACACAGCCAUGAAAAGGAAUGAAAGCUUAUCAUUUGUGACAAUAUAGAUGGUUCUAGAAAGUGUAAUCGUAAGUGAAAUAAGUCAGAGAAAGACAAAUACCAAAUGAUUUCACUCAUAUGUGAAAUUUAAGAAACAAAACAAAGGAAAAAAGAGACAAAAAAACCCCAGACUCUUAAAUCUAGAGAAUAAACUGGUGAUUACCAGAGAGCAGGUGGGUGGGUGAGAUGGGUAAAGUGGGUAUAAGGGAUUGAGAGAACACUUAUCAUGUUGAGCACUGAGUGAUAUAGAAUUGUUUAAACUCUAUAUAUUGUACAUCUGCAACAAUAUAACACUGUACAUCAAUUCCGUUGGAAUUUUAAAAAAUAAAAAUCUGUAAUUUGUUAUAUCUUUUCCAGUUCUUAAUAAAUAUUUAUUUCUGUGCCUAA
Molecule: long non-coding RNA, 4139 nt
Organism: Mustela lutreola (European mink)
Lineage: Eukaryota; Metazoa; Chordata; Mammalia; Carnivora; Mustelidae
Exons: 4
Source: RefSeq, a predicted model, not a curated record